CCUACGGGUGGCAGCAGUGAGGAAUAUUGGUCAAUGGACGAGAGUCUGAACCAGCCAAGUAGCGUGAAGGAUGACUGCCCUAUGGGUUGUAAACUUCUUUUAUAUGGGAAUAAAAUGUUCCACGUGUGGGAUUUUGUAUGUACCAUAUGAAUAAGGAUCGGCUAACUCCGUGCCAGCAGCCGCGGUAAUCCGGAGGAUCCGAGCGUUAUCCGGAUUUAUUGGGUUUAAAGGGAGCGUAGGUGGAUUGUUAAGUCAGUUGUGAAAGUUUGCGGCUCAACCGUAAAAUUGCAGUUGAAACUGGCAGUCUGGAGUACAGUAGAGGUAGGCGGAAUUCGUGGUGUAGCGGUGAAAUGCUUAGAUAUCACGAAGAACUCCGAUUGCGAAGGCAGCUCACUGGACUGCAACUGACACUGAGGCUCGAAAGUGUGGGUAUCAAACAGGAUUAGAUACCCGAGUAGUC
RNAcentral lists this ribosomal RNA (460 nucleotides) under uncultured bacterium. Its description in RNAcentral is "partial 16S ribosomal RNA". It matches the Rfam family "Bacterial small subunit ribosomal RNA", at positions 338 to 795 of the family's 1533-position model. The record is from RNAcentral.